AUGGCCACGCGCGACCGCGCUGCCCGCUCGGCGACGGCCCGCCUCAAGGAGAACGACACCCAGUCCCAGUCGCAGUAUGGCAAGCGCCAGCGCACGGCCGCGGGCCCGGCGCCGCGCCCGCCGCUCUCCACGGCCGCCCAGAACGCCGCCGCGCCUCCCCCCGCGGAGGCCCCCAUCGAGUUCGCCGGGAGGGAGGACGUCGACGCCCUCCUCAACGAGAAGAUUAAGGGCAAGAACAAGAUGGAUUACAAGGGAAAGAGUGAGCAGAUGAUUGAGUACAUCAAGAAGCUGCGUGCUUGUAUCAAAUGGUUGCUCGAGAGGGAGGACGCAAACCUCGCUGAAAUCGGAAAACUCAAUGGCCUAAUCGAUGCUGCAGACAAACAUCAUGCUGAAAUUGUGUCUCAGUUGGAGUGCAAAAUCCAAGAAUCCGUGGCAAUGAAAGAGGAGCUUCAGAAACAAUAUGCCUCUUUAGGAGAGAGCCUAAAGAAAGUGGAAGCUGAACAAAUGGAGUGCCUUCGAUCUUAUGGAGAUGAAAAGGAGGCUAGGAUUGCUGCAGAAUCUUCAAGGAACGAGCUUUCAGAAGAACUCAACAGAGUUAAGUUGGACCAGAAGCGUCUUAAUGAUCAGAUCAAGAUGCUUCAAGAUACAAAUAAGAGGCUUCAGGAAUACAACACUAGCUUGCAGCAAUAUAAUUGCAACCUCCAAGCUGAUGCAACAAAGAAUGCUGAAACAAUAGACAAGCUGCAAAAAGAGAAGAAUACUAUGGUUGAAACAAUGAAUGGUUUGAAAGAUCAUUCUAACUCAGUAAAGUUGCAGCUUGAUAUGGCAAAGUCUUCACAGAGUGAAGCUUUGAAACAAAAAAAUAACUUAUUGAAUGAGGUUGAAGCUCUCAGAGCUGAAUUACACCAAGAACUGACAGGAAAGUCUUCGUCAGAAUUAGAGAAUGUCAUGAUACGAUGUGAUGCACUUGAGGAAACUUGUUCAAACCAAACUGAGAAGAUUAAAACACUGCAAAUUCAACUUGCAUCGGCUAAUGAAAAGUUGAAGAGAUCUAAUUUGACAACUAUGGAGACAAUGAGUGAGUAUGAAAGCCAAAAGAGAAUGCUGGAGGACCUACAAUUACGUCUUACAGAAGCUGAGCAAAAAAUUGUGGAUGGGGAGAAGUUGCGGAAAAAACUACAUAACACCAUACUCGAGCUUAAAGGAAAUAUUCGUGUUUUCUGCCGAGUCCGACCUUUAUUGUCAAAUGAAUCUGGAGCUGUUUCUUAUCCAAAUAAUGGAGAAAAUAUAGGUCGUGGUGUCGAGUUGAUACAUAACACACAAUCGUAUUCAUUUGCGUUUGACAAAGUGUUUGAUCACUCGGCAUCCCAGGAAGAUGUGUUUACUGAAAUUUCUCAGUUGGUUCAAAGUGCACUUGAUGGUUAUAAGGUAUGCAUAUUUGCUUAUGGGCAAACUGGUUCCGGCAAGACACACACUAUGAUGGGAAAUCCUGAGUUCAAUGAUCAAAAAGGGUUAAUACCUAGAUCGCUUGAACAAAUUUUUCAAACUAGUCAAUGCCUUAUGUCACAAGGUUGGAAAUAUAAGAUGCAGGCUUCAAUGCUAGAAAUAUACAAUGAGACCAUACGUGACUUGUUAGCGACAAGUCGCACAUCUAUCCAAGAUGGUGCCGCUUCAAAAUAUAAUAUCAAACAUGAUGUGAAUGGUAAUACCCAGGUGUCUGACCUCACAAUCGUUGAUGUACGGAGUAUCAACGAAGUUUCUUCUCUGCUCAAACGAGCUGCACAAAGCAGAUCAGUAGGAAAAACACAAAUGAAUGAAGAAUCAUCUAGAAGUCACUGUGUUUUCACACUACGGAUUUUUGGUGUAAAUGAGGGAACAGAUCAACAAGUGCAAGGUGUUCUCAAUUUAAUUGAUCUUGCAGGCAGUGAACGGCUUAACAAAAGUGGUGCCACUGGGGAUAGACUCAAGGAAACCCAGGCUAUUAACAAGAGCUUGUCGUGCUUGAGUGAUGUUAUCUUCUCCAUUGCUAAGAAAGAGGAACACAUUCCAUUCAGGAACUCCAAACUGACGUAUCUACUCCAGCCAUGCUUGGGUGGAGACUCUAAAACGCUAAUGUUUGUGAACUUGUCCCCGGAAGUGUCUUCUACAAGCGAGUCUAUUUGCUCUCUUCGUUUUGCUGCUCGGGUGAACUCUUGUGAGAUCGGCGUCCCUCGUCGUCAGACUCAAAUGCGCAGCUUGUCACAAGGAUGA
This 2250-nucleotide ribosomal RNA is filed under the name Triticum aestivum (bread wheat). RNAcentral's name for it is "partial small subunit ribosomal RNA". Lineage: Eukaryota; Viridiplantae; Streptophyta; Magnoliopsida; Poales; Poaceae. The record is from RNAcentral.